Molecule: ribosomal RNA, 370 nt
Filed under: uncultured organism
Description: partial 16S ribosomal RNA
Rfam family: Bacterial small subunit ribosomal RNA
Source: RNAcentral
GGAGGGUGCAAGCGUUAUCCGGAUUCACUGGGGUUUAAAGGGGUGCGUAGGCGGGUAUUUAAGUCAGUGGUGAAAUCCUAGAGCUUAACUCUAGAACUGCCAUUGGGUACUAUUUAUCUUGAAUAUUGUGGAGGUAAGCGGAAUAUGUCAUGUAGCGGUGAAAUGCUUAGAUAUGACAUAGAACACCUAUUGCGAAGGCAGCUUACUACGCAUAUAUUGACGCUGAGGCACGAAAGCGUGGGGAUCAAACAGGAUUAGAUACCCUGGUAGUCCACGCCCUAAACGAUGGAUACUCGACAUACGCGAUACACUGUGUGUGUCUGAGCGAAAGCAUUAAGUAUCCCACCUGGGAAGUACGACCGCAAGGUUG